GGGAAGGAGGUGCGUGGAUAGCUCCUGGGAGAGGACUGCCUGCACUCCAAGGUGUGGCAGCCAGCCAGCCAGCCGGAGACGGCCCCCAUACACAGGCUUGUGACGUCGCAGAGAGUGGAGAGACCGGAGAGUCCCAGAGAUGGCGAAGUCCAGAGACUCGGGCACUGGAUUCUGGAAAGACGCACAGCAGGUACUAAGAGCCAUCUGUCUACUUAUAUGGUCCCACAGUUAUGGUUCCAGGACUAGCUGCUCCAAGAAGCAGUCAUUCAUUAAUGGUGUCUAGAAACUUUCUGCAUCCCAUCCUGAGGUGAUGUGUAUCCAAGAGGUCGGUGGUAUAUUCUUACUGCUAUAUUCUUAUUAUUCAAGGAAUUGCUAUUCAUGGAGAUUUUAUGGUACAGUUUGAUUCAUUUAGGUUUUUUUACUAUAUUUGACUCUGUGCUUUCUGUCACAUAGGAAGCCACUCCCCCACCAAUGUGACCUACUCUGUCAUUCCUUUAUAUUUUGUACCCUGGUAUUACUGUGUCAUUGGUUAUCAUCUUCCACCAAGCUUCUGUGAUGCCUAUUAUAUCAAUAUCCUCAUUUAAUACCAGCCACUCAAAUUCACUCAUCUUAGUGUUUAGACUUCUACCAUUUGUAUACAAGCACUUAUACAAUUAGUCAAUAUUUAGUUGUCUGCCUCUCUGUGGUGUAAUUGAAUGGGACUGUUUUGGGUCUUACUGUUUCUCUUCAGUUCCUGCCUGCACUUUAUCAAUUUCUAUCUUCUGUUUACUCAGAUGUAGAGUAUCCCCUUUAAUAAAUCCUCCCUUAAGGAAUUCGUCUAAACUUUGUGCCCCACCAUCCCAUUGGCUUUCUUCCCUCCUCUACUUUAAAAACACCUCUACAACCUUUCUAAUUUUGCAUACUAGAAAUCUGGUUCCAUUUUGGUUUAGAUGGAGCUAUAUUUCCUGUAUAAGCUUCUCCUUUCCCCAAAAGUUCCCCAGUUCCUAAUAAACCUAAAUCUCUCCUCCGAACACCAUUGUCUCAUCCACACAUUAAGACCCUCGAGUUCUGCCUGUCUAACUGGCCAUGCAUGUAGAAGUGGAAGCAUUUCAGAGAAUGCUAUGGUAGAGGUCCCGGACUUUAGUCUCCUACCUAGCCGACUAAAUUUGGCCUCCAGGACCUCUCUCCUACUGUUCUGAGCAAUAGACAUUUCUCCAACUCUAUAGUAAUAGGAAUUAUGAGUUUCUCAAUGGUAAUUAGGCACCUAUCUGCCUUUUGUGGCUUUGAUCUCCCUCUCUAUUUACCUUUAACUGUAAAAAUUAAUAACAUAAGUUUAGAUGCACGGUCAAGAAGUCAGAACCUCUUUUUAACGUGGGUCAAAUUCAUCAUUGGUGUAACUCUUCUGCAAGUCAGUGUAGUUAUGCUAGGGAUGGAGUUGGCCUCUUAUUGCCUUUUCUGAUUGAAGGGUCUCAAGUUUUGUUAGGAUGGGCCCACUGCUGGUAUCCAUUCUAUUCAUAGCUCUCCUGCCAAACACUACAUGUAGCCCCAAUCCUGCAGUGAGCAUCAGCUGGGCAGAUACCAGUGCCCCCACAGACCUCAUUGAAAUUCUAUGCAAGUACGGGGGUCCAGCAUGUGGAGCUCAUUGCAGGACUUGGGCCUUAGUUCAGAAAAAAAAAGUCCUAGGGUGACAUUUUACCUUUAAUACAUUUUCAGUGCCAAGUAUGAUGCUUUGGGGAUGUUGUGUAAGACUAUUACAGAACUGCUGUCUGGCUGAUAGCCACUUUUUCAAGCGGUACAUUUUAAGGCACUGUAAUCAUGCUGCACAGUUAUAUGAAAUGAUAUAUUUCAUGCCUGUCAUUUCACCUUUUUAACACUCCUAGUAUUAUUUUUCUUGCCUCUAGCUAAAAUGAAAAGGCAGCAAUGAAUAUAUGUAUUAGGGAUUAUGGAUGGUCAAAGAGAAGCUUCUUGAUGAGCAUAUCCAGUCCAAAGCGAAGGUGACUAAAACGAGGCUGUGGGUGCAUAAGACCUGAUAUUUGCUGAAACUGGAUAACUGUCCUCAUAUUCCCAAUAUCAGCAAUAUGCUUCCUCUCCUGUCUCAAAUACAUUCCAUAUAUUGAUGUAAAAGAUUAAAUCAGGUAAGUCGCAGAUUUCUCUGAAAACGUGAAGAGACUUUGCUUCCCCUUCACCUUCGCCCAUUCACUGACAUUUAUACACAUAUUGAUCUUUUACUAAGCCUUGUCAUUUUAUAACUAUAUAUAAACACAAUUGCCAUAGUAGAUUUAUUGGAGAGCAGAGGAGAAGUAGGUGCUCUGGUAAUUACUAAGGAUUUCAAGAUAUUAACUGCAAACAUCUGAAAUAGGCAGAUGUGCUAAUGUAGCGAAGAGUUUGGACGGUUAUCUUGACACUGAAGUUCUUGUGCUGGUUCCUUGCAAUAAAACUUGGGAGCUCUGUGUUAAAUAACAAUGCAAUAUCACAGUGUAUUUCUGAGUAACUAUAGUAGGCCUCUGACCAUACUCAAAGGCAGCAGGCUGGGAACAACAUGACUUAAACCACCUGGGAAAAUGCAAAUAAUUUCCAAACAGUGCACUGCCUAAUUGUUUGUUUGAUUGUUAUACUCUAUGAAAUUUAUAAAUAAAAAGUUAGGAAGCAAGUCUGAUAUGGGUAUGGCUAGCCAAACAGCAGGCAGUCCUUGCAUUUAGGGUUUGAAAGUUUUCUGUUUAAUUUUGUGCCAACUUCUCAAUACGCUUUGUAUGUAGCUCUUGACUGUAAAAACUAGUAUGAAAUGUCUUUGGAAUUCACUGAACAAAAAUGGAGUUUUCCAAUUGGCUGAAAAGGAUCUUUUACCCAGAUGUCAGUAAAUGCAUGAGCCUAA
Long non-coding RNA from Chrysemys picta bellii (western painted turtle), 2851 nucleotides. RefSeq lists it as uncharacterized. The record is from RefSeq and is a predicted model, not a curated record. Lineage: Eukaryota; Metazoa; Chordata; Testudines; Emydidae.